CAGUCGCCGCGGGAAUACGUAGGGUGCAAGCGUUAAUCGGAAUUACUGGGCGUAAAGCGUGCGCAGGCGGUUAUAUAAGACAGAUGUGAAAUCCCCGGGCUCAACCUGGGAACUGCAUUUGUGACUGUAUAGCUAGAGUACGGCAGAGGGGGAUGGAAUUCCGCGUGUAGCAGUGAAAUGCGUAGAUAUGCGGAGGAACACCGAUGGCGAAGGCAAUCCUCUGGGCCUGUACUGACGCUCAUGCACGAAAGCGUGGGGAGCAAACAGGAUUAGAUACCCCGGUAGUCCCUGUCUCUUAUAC
RNAcentral lists this ribosomal RNA (301 nucleotides) under uncultured bacterium. RNAcentral's name for it is "partial 16S ribosomal RNA". It matches the Rfam family "Bacterial small subunit ribosomal RNA", at positions 509 to 807 of the family's 1533-position model. The record is from RNAcentral.